This 253-nucleotide ribosomal RNA is filed under the name uncultured bacterium. RNAcentral describes it as "partial 16S ribosomal RNA". It matches the Rfam family "Bacterial small subunit ribosomal RNA", at positions 524 to 776 of the family's 1533-position model. The record is from RNAcentral.
UACGUAGGUGGCGAGCGUUGUCCGGAUUUAUUGGGUUUAAAGGGUGCGUAGGCGGCCCUGUAAGUCAGUGGUGAAAUAUCGCAGCUCAACUGUGAGGGUGCCAUUGAUACUGCAGGGCUUGAGUGAAUUUGAGGUAGGCGGAAUUGACGGUGUAGCGGUGAAAUGCUUAGAUAUCGUCAAGAACACCGAUAGUGAAGACAGCUUACCAAGCUUCAACUGACGCUGAUGCACGAAAGUGUGGGGAUCAAACAGG